UGGGGAAUCUUGGACAAUGGGGGCAACCCUGAUCCAGCCAUGCCGCGUGAGUGAUGAAGGCCUUAGGGUCGUAAAGCUCUUUCGCCUGUGAAGAUAAUGACGGUAGCAGGUAAAGAAACCCCGGCUAACUCCGUGCCAGCAGCCGCGGUAAUACGGAGGGGGUUAGCGUUGUUCGGAAUUACUGGGCGUAAAGCGCACGUAGGCGGACCAGAAAGUUGGGGGUGAAAUCCCGGGGGCUCAACCCCGGAACUGCCUCCAAAACUAUUGGUCUAGAGUUCGAGAGAGGUGAGUGGAAUUCCAAGUGUAGAGGUGAAAUUCGUAGAUAUUCGGAGGAACACCAGUGGCGAAGGCGGCUCACUGGCUCGAUACUGACGCUGAGGUGCGAAAGUGUGGGGGAGCAAACAGGAUUAGAUACCCUGGUAGUCCACACCGUAAACGAUGAAUGCCCAGUCGUCGGAUAGCAUGCUAUUCGGUGACACACCUAACGGAUUCAAAGCAUUCCGCCUGGGGAGUACGGUCGCAGAUUAAAACUCAAAUGAAUUGAC
Molecule: ribosomal RNA, 545 nt
Filed under: uncultured bacterium
Lineage: Bacteria
Description: bacterial SSU rRNA
Rfam family: Bacterial small subunit ribosomal RNA
Source: RNAcentral